This 285-nucleotide ribosomal RNA is filed under the name Triticum aestivum (bread wheat). Its description in RNAcentral is "partial small subunit ribosomal RNA". The record is from RNAcentral. Lineage: Eukaryota; Viridiplantae; Streptophyta; Magnoliopsida; Poales; Poaceae.
AUGCCCCUGGACUUCACCAAGCACUUCGUCGCGGUGCCGACGGAGUUCAAGCUCAGGAACAACACCGACUGCUCCUGGAAGGUGACGGUCAAGCUGAUGAACGGCAGGGUGACCCUGGAUCAGGGUUGGGCCAGCUACGCCGUUCAUCAGAUCAAGAUCGGCUACAUGGUGACGUUCAAGCUCCUCACUCCCGAUACCCUCAAGGUCAUCAUCUUCGACGACAAUGGCAUUGAGGUCGUCAACAAGUGCAGGAAGCACGACGAAGCCUUCGUCGCCAAGGAGUAG